Molecule: ribosomal RNA, 405 nt
Filed under: uncultured bacterium
Lineage: Bacteria
Description: partial 16S ribosomal RNA
Rfam family: Bacterial small subunit ribosomal RNA
Source: RNAcentral
GACGAACGCUGGCGGCGUGCUUAACACAUGCAAGUCGAGCGGAGCGGCGAACGGGUGAGUAACGCGCGAGUAACUGCCCCCCUGUCUGGGAUAACAGCUGGAAACGGCUGCUCAUACCGGAUAGUGGGGGAUGACUCGCGUCCUAUCAGCUUGUUGGUCGGGUAGUGGCCUACCAAUUCGACGACGGGUAGCCGGCCUGAGAGGGCAACCGGCCACAAUGGGCUGAGAUACUGCCCAAACUCCUACGGGCGGAAGCGGUGGGGAAUAUUUCAGAGUAGGGGAAACCCUGAGGCAGCAACGCCGCGUGCGGAAUGACGGCUUUCGGGUGGUAAACCGCUUUCAGCCAUGACGCGGUAGUGGCAGAAGAAGCACCGGCUAACUACGUGCCAGCAGCCGCGGUAAUAC